GACGUAGGGGGCCAGCGUUGCUCGGAAUUACUGGGUGUAAAGGGUUCGUAGGCGGUGUGGCAAGUCGGGUGUGAAAUCUCUGGGCUCAACCCAGAGUCUGCUUCCGAAACUGCCGUGCUUGAGUGUGGGAGAGGCGCGUGGAAUUGCAGGUGUAGCGGUGAAAUGCGUAGAUAUCUGCAGGAACACCCGUGGCGAAAGCGGCGCGCUGGACCACUACUGACGCUGAGGAACGAAAGCUAGGGGAGCAAACAGG
RNAcentral lists this ribosomal RNA (253 nucleotides) under uncultured bacterium. RNAcentral describes it as "partial 16S ribosomal RNA". It matches the Rfam family "Bacterial small subunit ribosomal RNA", at positions 524 to 776 of the family's 1533-position model. The record is from RNAcentral.